Molecule: unclassified non-coding RNA, 248 nt
Filed under: Hypocreales sp.
Lineage: Eukaryota; Fungi; Ascomycota; Sordariomycetes; Hypocreales
Description: partial contains 5.8S ribosomal RNA, internal transcribed spacer 2, and large subunit ribosomal RNA
Source: RNAcentral
CGCACAUUGCGCCCGCCAGCACUCUGGCGGGCAUGCCUGUCCGAGCGUCAUUAACACCACUCGGGACCCUUUGGUCCCGGCGUUGGGGACCGGCCACGCGCCGGCCCCGAAUUAUAGUGGCGGUCGUCACGCGACUCCCCUGUGCAGUAGCGAUACAACGCAGAGGGCCUAGCGGGUCAACCACGCCGUAAAACCCCCAACUUUAUGAUGUUGACCUCGGAUCAGGUAGGAAUACCCGCUGAACUUAA